This 256-nucleotide ribosomal RNA is filed under the name uncultured bacterium. Its description in RNAcentral is "partial 16S ribosomal RNA". It matches the Rfam family "Bacterial small subunit ribosomal RNA", at positions 524 to 776 of the family's 1533-position model. The record is from RNAcentral.
UACGUAGGGUGCAAGCGUUGUCCGGAAUUAUUGGGCGUAAAGAGCUCGUAGGCGGUUUUGUUGCGUCGGCUGUGAAAUCCCGAGGCUCAACCUCGGGUCUGCAGUCGAUACGAGCAAACUAGAGUGUUGCAGGGGAGACUGGAAUUCCUGGUGUAGCGGUGAAAUGCGCAGAUAUCAGGAGGAACACCGGUGGCGAAGGCGGCCUGCUGGGGCAGUUGCUGACACUGGAGGCGCGACAGCGUGGGGAGCAAACAGG